UACAUUCUGCUCUGACUCCCAGAGAACUGA
This 30-nucleotide non-coding RNA is filed under the name Mus musculus (house mouse). The record is from RNAcentral. Lineage: Eukaryota; Metazoa; Chordata; Mammalia; Rodentia; Muridae.